GCGCGAAAACUUUACAAUGCGGGAAACCGUGAUAAGGGAACUCCGAGUGCCCACAGGUGAAGAAAGGGCCGGGCAAGACCGGUGCCAGCCGCCGCGGUAAUACCGGCGGCUCGAGUGGUGGCCACUAUUACUGGACUUAAAGCGUUCGUAGCUGGUCUGUUAAGUCUCUGGGGAAAUCUACUGGCUUAACCAAUAGGCUCUCAGGGAUACUGGCAGACUAGGGACCGGGAGAGGUGAGAGGUACUCCAGGGGUAGGAGUGAAAUCCUGUAAUCCUUGGGGGACCACCUGUGGCGAAGGCGUCUCACCAGAACGGCUCCGACAGUGAGGGACGAAAGCUGGGGGAACAAACCGGAUUAGAUACCCGGGUAGUCCCAGCCGUAAACGAUGCGCGUUAGGUGUAUCGGUGACCACGAGUCACCGAGGUGCCGAAGAGAAAUCGUGAAACGUGCCGCCUGGGAAGUACGGUCGCAAGGCUGAAACUUAAAGGAAUUGGCGGGGGAGCACACAACAGGUGGAGCCUGCGGUUUAAUCGGACUCAACGCCGGAAAUCUCACCGGAUAAGACAGUGGAUGAUAGUCGGGCUGAAGACUCUACUUGACUAGCUGAGAAGUAGUGCAUGGCC
This 623-nucleotide ribosomal RNA is filed under the name uncultured archaeon. RNAcentral describes it as "bacterial SSU rRNA". It matches the Rfam family "Archaeal small subunit ribosomal RNA", at positions 339 to 999 of the family's 1478-position model. The record is from RNAcentral.